GACGAACGCUGGCGGCGUGCUUAACACAUGCAAGUCGAACGGAAAGGCCCUGCUUUUGUGGGGUGCUCGAUUGGCGAACGGGUGAGUAACACGUGAGUAACCUGCCCUUGACUUUGGAUAACUUUAGGAAACUGGGGCUUAUACCGGAAAGGCGCUCCUGCUGCAUGGUGGGGGAUGGGAAGUUUAGGCGGUUGGGGAUGGACUCGAGGCUUAUCAGCUUGUUGGUGGGGUAGUGGCGUACCAAGGCCUUGACGGGUAGCCGGCCUGAGAGGGUGACCAGCCACAUUGGGACUGAGAGACGGACCAGACUCGUAUGGGAGGCAGUAGUGGGGAAUAUUGCACAACGGGCGGAAGCCUGAUGCAGCAACGCCACGUGCGGGAUGACGGCCUUCGGGUUGAAAACCGCUUUCGCCUGUGACGAAGCGUGAGUGGCGGUAAUGGGUAAAGAAGCACCGGCUAACUACGUG
This 467-nucleotide ribosomal RNA is filed under the name uncultured bacterium. RNAcentral describes it as "partial 16S ribosomal RNA". It matches the Rfam family "Bacterial small subunit ribosomal RNA", at positions 28 to 507 of the family's 1533-position model. The record is from RNAcentral.